Molecule: transfer RNA, 71 nt
Filed under: Cordylochernes scorpioides
Lineage: Eukaryota; Metazoa; Arthropoda; Arachnida; Pseudoscorpiones; Chernetidae
Description: tRNA-OTHER
Source: RNAcentral
UGUCCAAUGCGGGAAUCGAACCCGGGUCGUAGUGGUCUAAAACCAAACUGUUUAACCAGCCUUCAACCGAC